GUGGGGAAUUUUGGACAAUGGGGGCAACCCUGAUCCAGCGACGCCGCGUGGAGGAUGAAGGUCUUCGGAUUGUAAACUCCUUUUGGAGGGGAUGAAUGGCUUGGUGAAGAGCCAAGAGUGACAGUACUCUCUGAAUAAGCCACGGCUAACUACGUGCCAGCAGCCGCGGUAAUACGUAGGUGGCAAGCGUUACUCGGAAUCACUAGGCGUAAAGCGCAGGUAGGCGGUUUGGUAAGUCUGUUGUGAAAGCUCCCGGCUUAACUGGGAGAGGUCAACGGAAACUGCCAGGCUAGAGUGUGGUAGAGGUAGCUGGAAUUCCCGGUGUAGCGGUGAAAUGCGUAGAUAUCGGGAGGAAUACCUAUGGCGAAAGCAGGCUACUGGACCAUCACUGACGCUGAUCUGCGAAAGCUAGGGGAGCAAACAGGAUUAGAUACCCUAGUAGUCC
This 445-nucleotide ribosomal RNA is filed under the name uncultured bacterium. RNAcentral describes it as "bacterial SSU rRNA". It matches the Rfam family "Bacterial small subunit ribosomal RNA", at positions 354 to 796 of the family's 1533-position model. The record is from RNAcentral.